CCUUUCUCUGGUUCUAGACUAUUCUCUGUCAACAUUCUGACUGGCAGGGUUUGACUGUGUUUUAGUAGAGAGAACAUGUUACAAUGUCAGGUUCUGUAAUGUGUUUUAGUAGAGAACAUGUUACAAUGUCAGGUUCUGUAAUGUGUUUUAGUAGAGAACAUGUUACAAUGUCAGGUUCUGUCUGUAAUGUGUUUUAGUAGAGAACAUGUUACAAUGUCAGGUUCUGUAAUGUGUUUUAGUAGAGAGAACAUGUUACAAUGUCAGGUUCUGUAAUGUGUUUUAGUAGAGAACAUGUUACAAUGUCAGGUUCUGUAAUGUGUUUUAGUAGAGAACAUGUUACAAUGUCAGGUUCUGUAAUGUGUUUUAGUAGAGAGAACAUGUUACAAUGUCAGGUUCUGUAAUGUGUUUUAGUAGAGAACAUGUUACAAUGUCAGGUUCUGUAAUGUGUUUUAGUAGAGAGAACAUGUUACAAUGUCAGGUUCUGUCUGUAAUGUGUUUUAGUAGAGAACAUGUUACAAUGUCAGGUUCUGUAAUGUGUUUUAGUAGAGAGAACAUGUUACAAUGUCAGGUUCUGUAAUGUGUUUUAGUAGAGAACAUGUUACAAUGUCAGGUUCUGUAAUGUGUUUUAGUAGAGAACAUGUUACAAUGUCAGGUUCUGUAAUGUGUUUUAGUAGAGAGAACAUGUUACAAUGUCAGGUUCUGUAAUGUGUUUUAGUAGAGAACAUGUUACAAUGUCAGGUUCUGUAAUGUGUUUUAGUAGAGAGAACAUGUUACAAUGUCAGGUUCUGUCUGUAAUGGGUUUUAGUAGAGAACAUGUUACAAUGUCAGGUUCUGUAAUGGGUUUUAGUAGAGAGAACAUGUUACAAUGUCAGGUUCUGUAUUGUGUUUUAGUAGAGAGAACAUGUUACAAUGUCAGGUUCUGUAAUGUGUUUUAGUAGAGAACAUGUUACAAUGUCAGGUUCUGUAAUGUGUUUUAGUAGAGAACAUGUUACAAUGUCAGGUUCUGUAAUGGGUUUUAGUAGAGAGAACAUGUUACAAUGUCAGGUUCUGUAAUGGGUUUUAGUAGAGAACAUGUUACAAUGUCAGGUUCUGUAAUGUGUUUUAGUAGAGAACAUGUUACAAUGUCAGGUUCUGUAAUGUGUUUUAGUAGAGAGAACAUGUUACAAUGUCAGGUUCUGUAAUGUGUUUUAGUAGAGAGAACAUGUUACAAUGUCAGGUUCUGUAAUGUGUUUUAGUAGAGAACAUGUUACAAUGUCAGGUUCUGUAAUGUGUUUUAGUAGAGAACAUGUUACAAUGUCAGGUUCUGUAAUGUGUUUUAGUAGAGAGAACAUGUUACAAUGUCAGGUUCUGUAAUGUGUUUUAGUAGAGAACAUGUUACAAUGUCAGGUUCUGUAAUGUGUUUUAGUAGAGAACAUGUUACAAUGUCAGGUUCUGUAAUGUGUUUUAGUACAGAGAACAUGUUACAAUGUCAGGUUCUGUAAUGUGUUUUAGUAGAGAACAUGUUACAAUGUCAGGUUCUGUAAUGUGUUUUAGUAGAGAACAUGUUACAAUGUCAGGUUCUGUAAUGUGUUUUAGUAGAGAGAACAUGUUACUAUGUCAGGUUCUGUCUGUAAUGUGUUUUAGUAGAGAACAUGUUACAAUGUCAGGUUCUGUAAUGUGUUUUAGUAGAGAACAUGUUACAAUGUCAGGUUCUGUAAUGUGUUUUAGUAGAGAGAACAUGUUACAAUGUCAGGUUCUGUAAUGUGUUUUAGUAGAGAGAACAUGUUACAAUGUCAGGUUCUGUAAUGGGUUUUAGUAGAGAACAUGUUACAAUGUCAGGUUCUGUAAUGGGUUUUAGUAGAGAACAUGUUACAAUGUCAGGUUCUGUCUGUAAUGGGUUUUAGUAGAGAACAUGUUACAAUGUCAGGUUCUGUAAUGUGUUUUAGUAGAGAACAUGUUACAAUGUCAGGUUCUGUAAUGUGUUUUAGUAGAGAACAUGUUACAAUGUCAGGUUCUGUCUGUAAUGGGUUUUAGUAGAGAGAACAUGUUACAAUGUCAGGUUCUGUAAUGGGUUUUAGUAGAGAACAUGUUACAAUGUCAGGUUCUGUAAUGUGUUUUAGUAGAGAACAUGUUACAAUGUCAGGUUCUGUCUGUAAUGUGUUUUAGUAGAGAACAUGUUACAAUGUCAGGUUCUGUAAUGUGUUUUAGUAGAGAACAUGUUACAAUGUCAGGUUCUGUAAUGUGUUUUAGUAGAGAGAACAUGUUACAAUGUCAGGUUCUGUCUGUAAUGUGUUUUAGUAGAGAACAUGUUACAAUGUCAGGUUCUGUAAUGGGUUUUAGUAGAGAGAACAUGUUACAAUGUCAGGUUCUGUAUUGUGUUUUAGUAGAGAACAUGUUACAAUGUCAGGUUCUGUAAUGUGUUUUAGUAGAGAACAUGUUACAAUGUCAGGUUCUGUAAUGUGUUUUAGUAGAGAACAUGUUACAAUGUCAGGUUCUGUCUGUAAUGGGUUUUAGUAGAGAGAACAUGUUACAAUGUCAGGUUCUGUAAUGGGUUUUAGUAGAGAACAUGUUACAAUGUCAGGUUCUGUAUUGUGUUUUAGUAGAGAGAACAUGUUACAAUGUCAGGUUCUGUAAUGUGUUUUAGUAGAGAGAACAUGUUACAAUGUCAGGUUCUGUAAUGUGUUUUAGUAGAGAACAUGUUACAAUGUCAGGUUCUGUCUGUAAUGUGUUUUAGUAGAGAACAUGUUACAAUGUCAGGUUCUGUAAUGUGUUUUAGUAGAGAGAACAUGUUACAAUGUCAGGUUCUGUAAUGUGUUUUAGUAGAGAGAACAUGUUACAAUGUCAGGUUCUGUAAUGUGUUUUAGUAGAGAGAACAUGUUACAAUGUCAGGUUCUGUAAUGUGUUUUAGUAGAGAACAUGUUACAAUGUCAGGUUCUGUAAUGUGUUUUAGUAGAGAACAUGUUACAAUGUCAGGUUCUGUAAUGUGUUUUAGUAGAGAACAUGUUACAAUGUUACAAUGUCAGGUUCUGUAAUGUGUUUUAGUAGAGAACAUGUUA
This is a long non-coding RNA of Salvelinus fontinalis (brook trout), 3035 nucleotides long. RefSeq lists it as uncharacterized. Lineage: Eukaryota; Metazoa; Chordata; Actinopteri; Salmoniformes; Salmonidae. The record is from RefSeq and is a predicted model, not a curated record. The transcript has 3 exons.